Molecule: long non-coding RNA, 1572 nt
Organism: Tarenaya hassleriana
Lineage: Eukaryota; Viridiplantae; Streptophyta; Magnoliopsida; Brassicales; Cleomaceae
Exons: 6
Source: RefSeq, a predicted model, not a curated record
GGUGAAGAUGAAAAUGAGGGCCUUGAUGACGAUUCAGUUGAGACCCUCUGCUUCUCCUUCACUGGUUUCCUCUUACUCUUCUCCUGCAAUUCCACAUAAUUUGGUGGAGAGUUGCAGAAUAUUGCGUUUCAUGGAUUAUUGUCCCCAAUUAGUGGUUGGUUUUAAAAAGGAGUACCUGGAGCUGGAGGCAGGGCCUUGUGGUCAUGACCGGAAACUUGUCUUGCCGUCGGGUAAUGUUGCCGGUAGAACACAUGGAAUAUUCUGUUCAUGCACCCAAUCUGUUUGUGCAGAUUAGGGUUUUCAUCAGACAGGUGGAAAACAGGAGCAGAGAUGAGUGAAUCUUCUUCACAGAAAAGAGAAAGAGCUCAAAAAAUCCCAAAAAAAACAUUCAACAGAGUUAUGUUUCUUGUAGAAUUAUGACCAGACAGAGAGAGAUUAAGCUCUGCGUUGUGUCUCUUGGUUUCUCUUUGGAAAGGAAAGGCAAGGCAAGGCUACAACUAUCAUGGAGGCCUUGAAAGCAUAUUUAUACAGAAUCCAUGUGGACAAAAUAAUGUGGGGUGGGUCUCUCUACAUGUGCAUGUGGAGUUUGUCAGGAACGCAGAAAAAAAAAGGAGAAACUAAUAAUUAUGAAAUAUCAUAACCAUAAAUAAAUAAUUAAAAAUAUUAUUCAUAACUUAAAAUUAUAUGAAGACUGUGGAUUGGUGAACUGGAACAUAAGCUUUGCAUGGUCUCGGAUUGGUGGGCCUUAUUACAAGGAAUUUGUUUUAAAAAAAAUGGACAUACUAAAUAUUUAAAUUAGUGAAAAGGAGAUACUUUAUUAUUUUACAAGGUUUUUUCCCUGAAGAUAUAAUAAUUACCGACCACCGGGAAAAAAAAGACAGAAUAAUGCAUAAUUAUUACUAAAUUUGAAAUUACAGACAGUCGUUUUAAAGUUGGUAGAUAAGUGUCUUGUCUGUCUGCGUUACAGUAGAACGAAUGUGGGUUUCGUGGGCAAUGUAGUCUUGAAGAGUUUUUUUUUUUUUUUAUAAUCGGGGAAUUUAUCGAAUCCACGUUUUUUCAGAGGAUCGGAUAAAUUCAUGUGAAUGCCUUCACCAAAUAAAAAUUCGAAUCCGGAUUAGGAAGUAGCUCUACUUCAUUCUUCACCGGAUAAGUCACCCAUUUUUUUUUUGGUUUUAACCUAAUUUUGGGUAAAUAUAGAGUUAUUGAUAUUUUUUUCAUGGGUUUUAUCAAAUAUAUUUCUCAAGUAAUUUAUUGUUUAUUUGGGAAUUUUAUAUUUAUUAUGAGUUAGAUAUUAAAAUUUCAAUAAAAAGAGGCAGCAAAACAAGUGGUCAGUUUUCUAACUAAAUUAGAUGUUGUAUGAUAAAGUCCUUGAGAUGUACUGAUCAUAAAAGUUUUCGUGUGCAUAAUCACGUGCCUUGUUCGACUAUGCGCUGUGAACAAGGUGGAGCCGUUAGGAUUUAAUUAAUUGAUUAUUUCUUUUGUUUGAUUUGGCUAAUUAAGUGAGCAAAUUAAUGUUAACUGAUUUGGUUGGGCUACGAAAGUACCGAGGAAUAUACCACACAUGGGGGGAUA